Molecule: long non-coding RNA, 675 nt
Organism: Colias croceus (clouded yellow)
Lineage: Eukaryota; Metazoa; Arthropoda; Insecta; Lepidoptera; Pieridae
Exons: 3
Source: RefSeq, a predicted model, not a curated record
GCGGGGGAGGACAGCGGCGCGCAGCACGGCGCCGCGCACGCGCACGCCGCGCACGGGCACCUGCUCGCGCGGGACGACGCCUCGCUCUACGGGGACGACGACGACACCGAAUUGGAACUGAGCGAUGAAGGCGAACCCGACUGGCGAGAGAAUCACAGAUGUUCCGGCGACGAGACGCACACACAGGUAUCGCCGAUCGCACACACGAACACGAUAUACACACACAUUGAUUAGUAUUGUACCCACUUCUAUAUUAUAUAAGUAAAUUAUAUUUUUGUAAAUUAAUAAUGUUCAUUAAUGACGUUCGAAUUGAAUAAUCGCACUUUCGUUACACUUAACACAAAUUUUAGCAUUUUUAAUAAUUGUUAUUUGUUAAUUUAAAAAUUUAAAUUUUAUUCGUGCAUGCGGUAUACCGACGACAUUGUACGGUGCCAUUUUUGAGUUACGCUUAAUAUAAUAUGAUCGUUUUAUCGUAUUGUAAUACAUCGCAGCCGCCGACACUGCGGGGGCAAGUGUCUCGUAUCGACUUAUGUAUGCUUUAUUAAUAUGUUUUGCAUUGAAUUGGAUGGUGAAGUCCACCGCUAGUGUGCAGUGUGCAGUGUGCAGUGUGCAGUGUGCAGUGCGCAUGCGGCGGGCGGCUCUGUGUACUUGUUGCCAAUAAACUAUUCUACCGUA